Molecule: ribosomal RNA, 428 nt
Filed under: uncultured bacterium
Lineage: Bacteria
Description: bacterial SSU rRNA
Rfam family: Bacterial small subunit ribosomal RNA
Source: RNAcentral
GGGCCCGCACAAGCGGUGGAGCAUGUGGUUUAAUUCGAUGCAACGCGAAGAACCUUACCAGGGCUUGACAUACUGCGAAUCUCCUUGAAAGGGGAGAGUGCCUUCGGGAAUGCAGAUACAGGUGGUGCAUGGCUGUCGUCAGCUCGUGUUGUGAAAUGUUGGGUUAAGUCCCGUAACGAGCGCAACCCUUGUCCUUAUUUGCCAGCGCGUAAUGGCGGGAACUCUAAGGAGACUGCCGGUGACAAACCGGAGGAAGGUGGGGACGACGUCAAGUCAUCAUGGCCCUUACGAGUAGGGCUACACACGUGCUACAAUGGUCGGUACAAAGGGUUGCCAACUCGCGAGAGUGAGCCAAUCCCGAAAAGCCGAUCUCAGUCCGGAUCGGAGUCUGCAACUCGACUCCGUGAAGUCGGAAUCGCUAGUAAUCG